AAUCAAGCGCGAAAAGGGCGUUUGGUGGAUGCCUAGGCAGCAAGAGGCGAUGAAGGACGUGGUACUCUGCGAAAAGCCAUGGGGAGCCGAGAACAGGCUUUGAUCCAUGGAUGUCCGAAUGGGGAAACCCACCUGAUAUUCUAUUGUUGUCGCUUCGCGACGUUACGCUCCGCGCCGGCUCAAUGCCGGAGGCGGCUGCGCCGCGCCCGCGAAGAGAUCAUCAGUAGGGUAAGACAGGUACUUUUACCCUGAAUACAUAGGGGUUUAAGAGCGAACCCGGGGAACUGAAACAUCUAAGUACCCGGAGGAAAGGAAAUCAAUAGAGACUCCGCUAGUAGUGGCGAGCGAACGCGGACCAGCCGAGCCUUGAGCGUGACUGGAAUGGCCUGGAAAGGCCAGCCAUAGCGGGUGACAGCCCCGUACAGGAAGCGUGAUGGGACGUAUCAAGUAGGGCGGGACACGUGAAAUCCUGUCUGAAGAUCGGGGGACCACCCCCGAAGGCUAAGUACUCCUUGCUGACCGAUAGCGAACAAGUACCGUGAGGGAAAGGUGAAAAGCACCCCGACGAGGGGAGUGAAACAGUUCCUGAAACCGGACGCCUACAAUCAGUCGGAGGGGCAUCAGCCCUGACGGCGUACCUUUUGUAUAAUGGGUCAACGACUUGGUCUCACGAGCAAGCUUAAGCCGAUAGGUGUAGGCGCAGCGAAAGCGAGUCUUAAAAGGGCGUCGAGUUCGUGGGAUCAGACCCGAAACCGGGUGAUCUAGGCAUGAGCAGGAUGAAGGUUGGGUAACACCAACUGGAGGUCCGAACCCACACCUGUUGAAAAAGGUCGGGAUGACUUGUGCCUAGGGGUGAAAGGCCAAUCAAACUCGGAGAUAGCUGGUUCUCCGCGAAAGCUAUUUAGGUAGCGCCUCGGACGAAUACCUGCGGGGGUAGAGCACUGCAUGGGUGAUGGGGUCCCACAGACUUACUGAGCCUAAGCAAACUCCGAAUACCGUAGAGUACUAUCCGGGAGACACACGGCGGGUGCUAACGUCCGUCGUGAAGAGGGAAACAACCCUGACCUGCAGCUAAGGCCCCCAAUUCGUGGCUAAGUGGGAAAGCAUGUGGGACUUCCAAAACAACCAGGAGGUUGGCUUAGAAGCAGCCAUCCUUUAAAGAUAGCGUAACAGCUCACUGGUCUAAUCAAGAGGUCCUGCGGCGAAGAUGUAACGGGGCUCAAGCCACGAGCCGAAGCUUGGGAUGCGCAGCAAUGCGCGUGGUAGCGGAGCGUUCCGUGAUAUAACACCAUCCGACCUUAGCCCUCCUCGGAAGGCAUUGGUCGGAACGGUGUUUACUGUGAAGCCGGGCCGUGAGGCAUCCGGUGGAGUGAUCGGAAGUGAGAAUGUUGACAUGAGUAGCGACAAAGAGGGUGAGAGACCCUCUCGCCGAAAGUCCAAGGGUUCCUGCUUAAAGUUAAUCUGAGCAGGGUAAGCCGGCCCCUAAGGCGAGGCCGAAAGGCGUAGUCGAUGGGAACCAGGUUAAUAUUCCUGGGCCAGGAGAUGGUGACGGAUUGCAGAGGUAGUUCGACCUUAUCGGAUUGGUCGGGCUGCUGAGUGGUCCCUGGAAAUAGCCCUCCAUCAGACCGUACCCUAAACCGACACAGGUGGACUGGUAGAGCAUACCAAGGCGCUUGAGAGAACCACAUCAAAGGAACUCGGCAAAAUACCUCCGUAAGUUCGCGAGAAGGAGGCCCCGUUUCUGGGCAACCAGAGGCGGGGGGCACAAACCAGGGGGUGGCGACUGUUUACUAAAAACACAGGGCUGUGCGAAGCCGUAAGGCGACGUAUACAGUCUGACGCCUGCCCGGUGCUGGAAGGUUAAAAGGAGGGGUGCAAGCUCCGAAUUGAAGCCCCAGUAAACGGCGGCCGUAACUAUAACGGUCCUAAGGUAGCGAAAUUCCUUGUCGGGUAAGUUCCGACCUGCACGAAUGGCGUAACGACUUCCCCGCUGUCUCUGAUGUGGACUCAGCGAAAUUGAACUGUCUGUCAAGAUGCAGACUUCCCGCGGUUAGACGGAAAGACCCCAUGAACCUUUACUCCAGCUUCGCACUGGCAUCAGGAAUGUGAUGUGCAGGAUAGGUGGUAGGCAUCGAUACCAGGACGCCAGUCCCGGUGGAGCCACCCUUGAGAUACCACCCUUCGCCUUCUUGAUGUCUAACCGCGGUCCGUCAUCCGGAUCCGGGACCUUGCGUGGCGGGGAGUUUGACUGGGGCGGUCGCCUCCCAAAGUGUAACGGAGGCGCGCGAAGGUUGGCUCAGAGCGGUCGGAAAUCGCUCGUUGAGUGCAAUGGCAGAAGCCAGCCUGACUGCAAGACUGACAAGUCGAGCAGAGACGAAAGUCGGCCAUAGUGAUCCGGUGGUCCCAAGUGGGAGGGCCAUCGCUCAACGGAUAAAAGGUACUCUGGGGAUAACAGGCUGAUGAUGCCCAAGAGUCCAUAUCGACGGCAUCGUUUGGCACCUCGAUGUCGGCUCAUCUCAUCCUGGGGCUGGAGCAGGUCCCAAGGGUAUGGCUGUUCGCCAUUUAAAGAGGUACGUGAGCUGGGUUUAGAACGUCGUGAGACAGUUCGGUCCCUAUCUGCCGUGGGUGUAGGAGACUUGAGAAGAGUUGCCCCUAGUACGAGAGGACCGGGGUGAACGAUCCACUGGUGGACCUGUUGUCGUGCCAACGGCAGUGCAGGGUAGCUAUGAUCGGACAGGAUAACCGCUGAAGGCAUCUAAGCGGGAAGCCCCCUUCAAAACAAGGUCUCCCUUGAGGGCCGUGGAAGACCACCACGUCGAUAGGCCGGAGGUGUACGCGCAGCAAUGCGUUCAGCUGACCGGUACUAAUUGCCCGAUAGGCUUGAUUUG
This 2888-nucleotide ribosomal RNA is filed under the name Paracoccaceae bacterium. RNAcentral's name for it is "23S ribosomal RNA". It matches the Rfam family "Bacterial large subunit ribosomal RNA". The record is from RNAcentral. Lineage: Bacteria; Pseudomonadati; Pseudomonadota; Alphaproteobacteria; Rhodobacterales; Paracoccaceae.